AUACCUUUUACGAGCGAAACAAUCACUGAGCAAGAUCGUUGCAAAUAUCAAUAAGUAUUCGUGGGUAACCGACGUAUAAAAAAGAAUGUACUUAUUUUCAAAUUUUAAUACAGUUGUUUUUUUUAUACAUAUUGUAAUAGCUCGAUUUGAUUAGUUUCGCACGUAAGUUUCUAGCAACUCUGCGAACAAGUGUCUACAAUAGAUCUGUAAAUAGGACAUGUAAAUGCAUCGAUUAAUUGAUUAUCAGCAGCGAGAUAAUGUGACUGGUGAAACGUAAACGAGAUUUCGACGCAUUUCGGGCUUUUUCGACUUGUAUCUCGUCAGACGCGAAACAUUCAAAAGCAAAUAAAACCGCGGUGUUACAUAAGACAAACAUCGUACAUUAACUACACCGAUAUGUUUUUAAACAUCAAUCAUCGUCCGUAGCUGAUACUUUGCAUCAUUUUAGUUUGUGCGUACGCGGGUUUAACGCGAUGCGACUAUCCCCGCUACCGGACAUCGCGACAUCUCAUUUUUCACGAACGUGCAUUUUCUGCAGACAGUAUUAGCGUCGACGUAUAUAACUUAAACAUAUGAAAAUCGUUCUAGAUUAUUUUCUAAAUAAAAUACGUAAAGCUCAUUAUUAACGAUUUACAAGUCAGUAAAAAAGUAUUAUUUUUGAAAUAUUAAAAUUAUAAUAAAAAUGAAGAUAAAUGGAAAUAAAUCUAUUGUAUAGUCGUUUAUUGUAUCAACUAGAUCGAUUUUAAGUUGUCGAUUUAUAUCGAUUUUCACAUGUGUCAUUGUAACUCGAAUACUAGUUGAUACAGUUGAUCCAAUCUAAACGAUUAAAAUUGUGAUGGCAAUCGCGAAGCAUUGUGUAUAGCGGCUUGAAUGACGUAUCAUAUGCAGAUAAAACAUUUUAAAUAAUUAAUCGACAGAUAUACAAUUAAGUGGUGAAAGUUACUUGAAGAGGACACAAGUCUGAGUGCGUUAUUGUUUAAAUUUGUGACUGAAAUUUGUUUCCAAUAUAAUUGAGAGACAAAAUUUAUUAUAGCUCUUUCCGUUUCCUAUCUAUUUAAUUUACAUUCAUUAUCAUUUAUAGGUUAAACCUAAGACUAUAUAACAUCAGGCGUAAUUAACAUAAAAUCUAUAUAAACCAUUCGACAUACACGUAGAAACACAAACAAAUUGUAUUAAUCAUCUGACACAUUAGAUAAAAAAAUUUACAUUUAUCGGUAAUACGUUGGCAUACAAUAAUAGCAUCGAUAAUAGUACUAAUGAUAAUUGGGCCAUGCAGCCAAAUGAAGGGCCAAGUGGAACUGCUCGAAGUAGAUUUGAGGGAUACAGCUUUUUCCGGAAAAAUAUUGAGUUACACAAGAUUGACCAGUGUUAUCUUACCAAUCAACGGAAAGAACUGAUUUUCGGAAUCUCUGGCCACUCUGGAAUCGGAGAAAAUAAUUGAUACCUUGAUGUGCUGCUAGUAACUAAAGAAUACUGAGUGAAUGAAUCUAAUAGAUUCUAUCCGAGUAGACAUCAUUAAUUUCACUAUGUAAAAUAACUUGAUAGAUGAAACUUGACUCCCAUACUCUUUAACAGUAAGUUAAUUAUAGAAAAUGGAAAUAAUCGUAAAUCAAUAUAUAAAAAAUUCAGAUUAAUUUAGGUAUCGUAAAGCUUUGAAAAAAUAAUUUGAAAUGUCUGCGUAUUUAUUAUAACAUUAUUAUAUCUGUAGGAUAAAAAAGAAUAGCAAAUUAAUUACUAUGAGAACACGAUCAGAUACAAUACGAUACAAUAUAGAACAAAAUAUAGUCACAUGCCUGAAAAUUAAAUAAUCGAGCUUGCAAUGAGUAGCUAUGCCUAUGGCUUACCAUUUAAGGUUUCAGAAUUAAAAAUAUGUAAUAAAUAUAUGAUAUAUAAAAUAUAUAAUAAAUACAUGUAUGUAUACAGCGAGUCACAGUACCUAUUCAUAUCUCUAAUUUGAACAACUGAUAUGUUUUUACGAUACAAAUUUGAAAUUUCUAAUCAAUGAAAGUCAGUUAACGAGCAUUCUCAUUGCAAAGAAUUUUGUAUUUUGUAUUAUAAAACGAUAUGAAUCGUUCAGGGUCAAUGAUUUGGUGGUACCAAUACUUUUCAGAAUGACUUACUGUGCAUGUAUACAUAUGCGAAAGUCAUAAUCUUCAAUAUCAAUCAUCAGUUAUUUACAUAUUGCAUACGAAUAUAUCACACAGCAUUUUAAAACUCUAGGGCAUAAUCGAAUUAAGAUUCUUAUCAAAUGUCACAAAUUACAAAUUACUGUCGUUAGUAAAAAUUUUUGCGUGACACGUUGACAGGUUUUAUAAUAUAAAAUGAAAUUUUGCGCGCCAGUUUUAUAAAUCAUAAAUUAUCCCCUUAUUUUAUUCGACGAAACGUGAUAAAAUUGUAAGAAAGAGAUAUUCACGAUAGGCAAACUAUGAUGCAAGACGGUCCAGAAAGAGAAUCUUUCUAUCGUUAUGAAAUAAAAUCUCUGUGGUAUAAACCAUCUUAAAAAUUUGAAAACGCGACAAAUUCUUCAACGAGAGAUCGCAUUUGCUGCAAUUUUUCCCUGUAAACUAUAAACUAACCAGCGCGGCGCCCGAUCCGCGUUUGUCACAUUUGAGGAUUAUUGCCGAGCGAAAUAUUUCAGUUCGAAAAUUUACGGCCGCCGGUAAGCCGAUGAGGCCCGUUAACAAAGGUUAAAGAUCGUUGUUUGAAAUACAUUGCUUCUCGGCGAAUAAUUGGAUAAGCAUGAUGCACGAGGGAGAGAGAGAGAGAGAGAGAGAGAGAGAGAGCGAGAGGAAGAGAGAAACAGAAAAGGCAACAGCGUGCGAAAUCAGCGUAAAUUAAUCGAGGAUGAUCUCCGGUUACUGAAAAAUCACGCUAAUGAGUAUGUAGGGCCGAUUUAGAGAAGGGGUCGAGGAAGGUCUCUGUGGUCACUUCAAACGUCGAUGUCGAUCAUAAAUUGGGGGCUGAUACGAUGGGGACGAUGACAAUUACCGUUGCGUUACAAACAGAUCGGUACAUACGGACCGACGUUCGAGCUUAAUUCGUGUAAUUAGCACUAAUUAAUACAAUAUACUCAACUCUCACAAGAUCUUAGCAUUGAUCAGGGAUCAAGGGAUCAAGAGAUCAUUUUGUAGAUGCUACAUAUCAGUCUUCGCUGAUUAAAAUACAAUGGGUCAUGAAAGUUUUCGAAUACUUACUAUAGAGGAUUUUUAUAAAUAUUUUCUAUGCCUUCUACGAAACUUUGGGAAAUGUCAUUAGUACUGCAAUGAGAUACGAUUUUAUUGUAAUUAUAUUAACAAAAUUUGAAACCAAGCUACAAGUUCACAUAUGUACAAACGUUACAAUAAAAGAUAUUCAUACGUGAUACUACCGUUUGACUCUCUAUUCGUUAACUUAUAUUUAUUAUUUGUUAUAACCUUUUUUCAGGAGUUCAUGAUGUAUCAUACUCAUAUUUAUACUGCGUACGACUGGCGCACGAAAAUGUUUGGACACAUAACAUAGCAAACUUUUAUAAAUGUACAUUAUACACGAAAUUUUCUAAAAUUUCUUCUAAAAGUUGAGGUUACGAUUAUCAUAAUUAUAUUCACGAAACCUGAAAUGAAUCUAAAAAUGUAUGUAAAAAUUGUAUUUAGGAUAAACAUAUGUCGAAGCAUGAAUAACCAUUGUAAGCACGUACUAAAUGUUAAAUAUGAUCUCACUGAAUGUUGAGGUUUAUUAAUACUAUAUAAUAAAUAAUUGACUGUUUAAAUACUUUUGUGAUCUCUACGAAAUAUGUACUUGUACUAUCUACGUACGUUUCCAGAUUUGUUUCAAACUUUACCAAUAUAGUCUCAUUUCAGUGCUAAUGUUUCAAGAUGUUUCGUAUAACACAAUAAUAUAUUCAUAAAAGAUAUCUACAAGUGUCUGAAUACACUCGCGAGUCGUUGUAUUUAAAUACUGAAAUUCUAAUAUAAAUUGCGUAUUUUAUAUUUAUUCGAUAUGCGUUAAAACGUUCUUUCAUAAUGUUAUUUGGUCGUGUAGUAUCGUUAACUAUUAGUAUGCGAAAUAAUCAAUUUUAAGCUGAAAUAUUGAAGAAAACUAUUUUUAUUUCUGUAUGAUGCCAUAUGAUUUAAAAGUUGUAUAACUACCGAUCUAUAUGUUUUUAACAUUAUUUUGUAUCUUCUUACUAUUCUAUUUUGUUUUAUCAUCGUACUAUGUACUGUUUUGUCAACGAUUUUCCUAUCAAUGCGAAUAACUAUGAUAUAACUGACUCUCUCAGAACAGAAUUCUUUUACUCUGUGAGAAAAAUUAUUCUUUUAUUAAUUAUUAAUCAUAGGAACAUAUUCCUUCUGAUGUUUCUAUAAAAAUGACAUCAUGCAGUAAAAUUGAAUAUAUUUAUGAAUAUAUUUAUCGUUUAAUUAAUUAUUGAUUUACUCAAGUGUUGUUAUGUUACAAAUAAAUAAUAUCAAGCGUAACCAGGCGAAUGGCAAUUUUUGGUCAUAUACAUAUUGUGGAAAUUUUCAAGUCAACGAAGAAAAAUCUAAUUCCUCUGAAGAUUAAUUCCUAACGUUGUGUUAAUAUAAUUUAUUUUAAUCAAUUAUGACUACAAACUCGGGAAUAUAACAAAGAGUGAUUUUAUAGUAUACAUAUUUGCUGUGACCCGAUUGAAUAUCGACAAUACUACGAUUCUUACAAAAUAAUAAGAGAAACUUUUUUCAUAAAACAUCCACGCUCCCUCCCGUAGUAUCUUUCGAGUUGUUCCUGUUUACGAAGAGCCUGUACAAGAAGUCCGCAAACGUCAUUCGGCAUCUUCUUCAUUGUGUAAGGACUGCUACGAUGAGUUGCAUGUAGCUGCAUUUUUAAAUCGAGCAAAUAGUAUUUUGUGCACGCAUACAUAUGUAUACACAGAGGAAGAAUGAAAUUUUUCAUUGAUAAUGUGAACAUAACCGAAAACACAGGAAUGAAAAAUAUUAGAUAUCUUUUUGGAUACGUGUCGAUAUUUAUUAUGACUUCGCUGUUGCGUUACUUUUCCGUGAAAUUCAUGCGUAUUUAUUGACUCGAUUGAUAUGCUCGAUGAAUAAUGGUUUCUUUUACUCUCAUAUUGAAUCCUGUACACACACGCAGUGUGGGUAUACUGGUAUUAGCGUCUGGCCUGAACAAUUCACAUUUUGUUGGCUUCCUGUGAUAGAUAUUGGGAAGAAAUUCCUUAAAAUGCACAUUUUAAAGGUGAUAAUACCAGACAAACUGUCAUACAAAAGUCAUAACAAACGAUGUAAGUAGUACACAUGUUACAAAUAUCGAAUCAGUUAGUUAUCUCGACGAGAAAAUUUUAAAAAAUUAUUCAAAUACAUGCGAUAUAUUUUUUUCUAAUGUUUUCAUCGAAACAUC
Long non-coding RNA from Bombus huntii, 5364 nucleotides. RefSeq lists it as uncharacterized. The transcript has 3 exons. Lineage: Eukaryota; Metazoa; Arthropoda; Insecta; Hymenoptera; Apidae. The record is from RefSeq and is a predicted model, not a curated record.